UUGCUACUUUUUUGGUUUUUUGCUCGAAUUUUUCUGGUGUUUUUCCUGCUUGAUACUUCUAGAGUUUUAGGCAGCGAUGGAUCUGUUUGGCGGCAGCUUAUUUUUCCUUCAAUUUCUGGAUCAUUUUGUUAUUUUUUAUUGGGCUUUUCUGGAUUUGAAUGGUUUCCGUCGUGCUGUAGAAUUUGAACUGGAACUACAGGUUCAAUAUGGAUGUUUCUUUACUCUAUCUAACUUGCUUAUACUGAUUUCAUGUCUCUGCGUAUGUAGGAGAUGAUCUUUAUAUCUAAUGGAUUUAUCAAUGUUGCUCAGAGUUGUUGCUUGAAGGAUCUUUGUUUGUACCGAGUUUUAAGCUUGUUUUAAUGAAAAUUCAACUCCGGUGAAUUUAUCACGCCUGUGAAAUACUUAUUGUUAGUAUUGUCAGAUAUUUUGCAGUCUGGGAACCUAGAAAGCUUGAGAUCUCAUCAAAUUGUUGAAAGACUAAUGAUGAUUUACUGAUGCAGAUACAAUUGUUUAUUGCUGAUAUUCGAGCGUUAAAUUUGUUUGCAUGAAGAUUGGGUGUUGAACAGUGAAGGUUCUGCUUAUAAAUCGGAUUCUAAACAUAUAAAAUGUCUACAGCAAGCAAAGCAGAUAAAAAAGUAACUUUAGAUGUGGCCUCAUGGAUGUUCAAUGUCGUUACAUCUGUUGGAAUUAUCCUUGUCAAUAAAGCCUUGAUGGCCACAUAUGGUUUCAGCUUUGGCCAACUGUACCAUAGGCACUGAACCAUGGUGCAUCCUUUUGGGGGGAGGGGAUGAUUUACAAUCUAGGUAACUAGUGAAUGAGGUAUUCAUAAAUAGUCUCUUUAAUUGCAUACUUAUUAUUCCAUACUUUAAACUGGUAUUAUUAUUGUUUAUGACUGUGUGCUAUGAUUUAAAAUUUUGUUUAGAAUCUUAGGGAUUGUAUUCUUGUUGUUAUGUGAGAAAGUCCACCUUGUACUCAUAUGAUGUCCCCGCCGACUCGGAGUAAGGGAUUAAUAAGAAUACAUGAUGUAUAAAGUAGGCACCUUUUUGAAAUGGUAAUGAUUUCAACAUUUUACAUAGGUUCCAAAUUAAAAUCCUUGGGAAAUGGAAAAGGGGAUGGGAUUGGUAGGGACCUAGAAAAUCAGCUCACCUGUUGUCAGGUGAUGCCAAAUUCUUCUUACUGACAUCAAAGAAAGGAAAUAAACAGUCAAUCUAUUCCUAUUUUUAUAUGUACUU
Non-coding RNA from Carica papaya (papaya), 1232 nucleotides. Lineage: Eukaryota; Viridiplantae; Streptophyta; Magnoliopsida; Brassicales; Caricaceae. The record is from RefSeq and is a predicted model, not a curated record.